Molecule: ribosomal RNA, 570 nt
Filed under: Fusarium avenaceum
Lineage: Eukaryota; Fungi; Ascomycota; Sordariomycetes; Hypocreales; Nectriaceae
Description: eukaryotic LSU rRNA
Rfam family: 5.8S ribosomal RNA (bases 189-342)
Source: RNAcentral
GAAGUAGCUCUCGUUGGUGACCAGCGGAGGGUCAUUACCGAGUUUACAACUCCCAAACCCCUGUGAACAUACCUUAAUGUUGCCUCGGCGGAUCAGCCCGCGCCCCGUAAAACGGGACGGCCCGCCAGAGGACCCAAACUCUAAUGUUUCUUAUUGUAACUUCUGAGUAAAACAAACAAAUAAAUCAAAACUUUCAACAACGGAUCUCUUGGUUCUGGCAUCGAUGAAGAACGCAGCAAAAUGCGAUAAGUAAUGUGAAUUGCAGAAUUCAGUGAAUCAUCGAAUCUUUGAACGCACAUUGCGCCCGCUGGUAUUCCGGCGGGCAUGCCUGUUCGAGCGUCAUUUCAACCCUCAAGCCCCCGGGUUUGGUGUUGGGGAUCGGCUCUGCCUUCUGGCGGUGCCGCCCCCGAAAUACAUUGGCGGUCUCGCUGCAGCCUCCAUUGCGUAGUAGCUAACACCUCGCAACUGGAACGCGGCGCGGCCAUGCCGUAAAACCCCAACUUCUGAAUGUUGACCUCGGAUCAGGUAGGAAUACCCGCUGAACUUAAGCAUAUCAAAAGGGGGGAGGAA